Long non-coding RNA from Raphanus sativus (radish), 1046 nucleotides. RefSeq lists it as uncharacterized. The record is from RefSeq and is a predicted model, not a curated record. Lineage: Eukaryota; Viridiplantae; Streptophyta; Magnoliopsida; Brassicales; Brassicaceae. The transcript is spliced from 2 exons.
UAAUCAUAUUUGUUUUAAGAGAAAUUAGGGUGUAUAUACACCGUUUCGACCAUAAUUUGCGAAGUACCCGAUCACUAUUACAUGCACUGUACAUUUGAAUUUAAUACCAUAUUAACCCUAUGACAUUACACACCUAUAUACUGCUAUCCUACCCGCCUACAUAAUCCUAGGUCCUAUUUUAUGUCAGAUCAGAGCCACACUAACACGUUUAGCAAUAUAUAUUAUAAUUAAUAAUCACUCAUUUUUACACCCAGAAAGAAGAGGGAGAUGAGAAAUCAAGAAGACGCCAUUUUCAGAUCUAACUAGGAAAGAAGAGACACCACUAUUCGCAAUCCAGUAUUCCAACUUCUCAUAAUCUGUAAGUAAAAUCAUAAUAUUCUCUAAUUUUUGCAUUUCGAUUUGAUCGAUCUUGUUGGUGUCUGCUACAAAUAAAAAAGAUGAAAUCUCUCUGUCCCAAGCUAGUGUUGCCUUGCCUAGAUAUCUUGAUGCUAUUCAACUCGUCCUUAUGGCCUCUGUCCCUUUGAUUAAAGAAGUUGUUCAGCCUCCUGAACCUGUGAUUUUGGUCGAGUCUGAUAGCUGAGUCCGAGUGCGCGUCACAUGAUGUUGAAACUACUCAAAAAGAUUAUGCAUCAACCUAGCUCACACUAAGUUAAUAGACAAAGAGUGCAAGAUUCAUGUACUGGAGAGUGCAUAUAUCAACCAUAACGUGUGGCUGAGAGAAACCCACAAAAAGGCGUACGAUCAAACAGUUACCUAUAUACCAUAGGAGCUAUCUCACAAAAUCUGCAAGUGUCAACGUGGCUUAAUCACAGGGGCAUAUUCGUCAGACCAAGUAAAUUAGUGCAUAGUGAUUUUAGUUUCUGAUCGUUUAGGGUACUUUGCUAAUUUCGAUCACUUUUGGGUAUAUCCAACCAAUUGUCUCUUGUUUUAAGGCCCCGUUCUUUCCAAGUUAUUCCUUUAUCUGUCCUUAUUUAACAAUAGCUGUGAUAAUGACACCCACACAAACUAAAUUGGCUUUCCCAACAGUUCAUGACAACUUCAAUCAA